This 398-nucleotide long non-coding RNA is filed under the name Homo sapiens (human). Its description in RNAcentral is "HSALNT0390060". The record is from RNAcentral. Lineage: Eukaryota; Metazoa; Chordata; Mammalia; Primates; Hominidae.
CUUUGGGAUUCAUCCCGAAGUGAGUCUCGCUCCAGUUUUCGGGCAUUAAGGACAUCUUCCACAUUGGUGUUUCGGAACAGAACUACAGAAACAGCUCCAAAUAAUGAUGGACUGAUCAAGAAGCUGGUACCAAGAAGUCUCAAAGUUAUUUCAACAGCUUCAUGGAGUGUUUAGAAACUUCCCAGCUUGAACUUCCAAGCUUCCUCACAGGCUGUGUUAAAGUUUUCCCAUUUAUAAGCCAAUCUUGCCAGAAGAGGCUCUGGAACUCAAAUGGGUUACUGCCAGAAGAAUCUGGGACAGCUGCACUAGUGUUAUAUUUCAACCAUGUACCCAAUCUAUGAACUGCUUCCACCAAAUGGUCACUCUGUCACCCAAGCUGGAGUGCAGUGGCACAAUCA